Molecule: unclassified non-coding RNA, 263 nt
Filed under: plant metagenome
Description: partial contains small subunit ribosomal RNA, internal transcribed spacer 1, and 5.8S ribosomal RNA
Source: RNAcentral
UUUCCGUAGGCGAACCUGCGGAAGGAUCAUUAUUGUAUAACCGAGGUGCGAGGGCUGUCGCUGACCCGAAAGGUCGUGCACGCCCGAGUGCCCUCACACGCAUCCAUCUCACCCCUAUGUGCACCACCGCGUGGGUCCCCCUUUGGCUUGUUCGGAGGGGGGCUUACGUUUUCACACAAACUUUGUAUGCAGUGUAGAAUGUAUUUUUUGUUUUUGCGAUCACGCAAUCAAUACAACUUUCAACAACGGAUCUCUUGGCUCUC